Molecule: long non-coding RNA, 1196 nt
Filed under: Homo sapiens (human)
Lineage: Eukaryota; Metazoa; Chordata; Mammalia; Primates; Hominidae
Description: HSALNT0110984
Source: RNAcentral
AGACUUCCUGCAGGCCACGCAGCUCUCCUCGGCCUCCCAUAGACUUGUCUCAGCAGGACCCUCCACUCGCUCCAGCACAUCCACUGAGGUGAUCCCCUCUGCCGUGGGCCUCGGCCAUACCAGCACCUUCCCCACACUGCAGAUCAGAAUCACAGCCCUGACUCGGGGCUCCCAGAUGAGUUUCCUUCCCUGCUGCUUUGCUACCCAUGCCAGUCUCUGGUUCCUUCAGCGUCAGCACUCCCACCCACUCCCUGCACAUCUCAUCCACUCCCUGAGCCCCCUUCCUCAUCUCCAUUUUUUAACCGGGAAAACCCACCCCUCCACACCAUCAAGUUACUUUCAGAAAUUCCAGGACCCUCCCAACUUUCCAAGAACUCCUAAGCUUUCCCUUCUCUUGGACAUCUUUCUAGACUCAUUAAAGAAACACAGUGGCCUCCCCAGCUACCAUUGUCCAAAAGUGGAUUUGUCCUCAGCUCACCAGUGCCUCACAUUUAUAUUUAAGGUGAUGUGGUGGGCAGGAUUCUAAGAUGCACCCAGGAUUUCCUGCAUCCUCCUUUGUGUAUACACCCUGAGAAUACCAUGGAUUUUAUUCCCAUGAUUAGCUGCUAUUUUAUGACAUAGGUGACCUUAAGAAAGAAAAAAUGAUCCCAGUGGGCCUGAUUCCAUGAUACGGAGGACUUCAGUCUUAUGACCACAGAGAGCAGAAUUCUAUCAACAGGAAAAAGCUACAAGUGGAUUAUUUCCUCAUCACCUCCAGAGAAAAACUCAGGCCAACACCUAGAUUUCAACCUUGUGAUGCCCUAAGCAGAGGACCCAGCCACACCGUUCCAGACUUCUGACUUAGAGAACUGUGUACUAAUAAGUGGGUAUUGUAUGAAGCCACUAAAUUGCUGGUAAUUUGCAAUAUAGCAGAAAAUAAACAUAGCUGCAGCGUUAUUCAUCUCUACUCCCAGCUCAAACAUCCCAACCAUCUCCACCCAAGAAAGUUGACUAACAGCUCAGCAUGUUCCUCAAAACAUGAUUACAAACUGUUUGGCGCUUUCCUAAAAGGUUAAACAGAGAACUACCAUGUGACCCAGCAAUUCUGCUCCCAUAUGUAUAUCCAAGAAAAUUGGAAGUGGAGACUCGAACAGAUUCUCGUAUACCAUUGUUCAUAGCAGCAUUAUUCAAAACAGCCAAAAGAUGGAAGCAACCUG